CCAACUCAACAUGAUUAGAAAAAUCAACACAAAAAUAAAAAUGGAAGCCCAAUCUUAACUCAAUUAUUGUUUUAAAAGAAAUGCAGACCUAAACAUCAGCCAGAGCGGACUCAUUAUGAAUCAUUUGUCAUGAGCUCAACUUAGAAAAAUAAAUCAAAUUAAAAUUAAAAUCUUUGAAGCAUAAAAAACCAGGAAACUUUUAGGUUUGCAAUGGGGAAGAAUUUCAACCUGGAUUUUUAAUCCUCAUUAAGAAUAAAGCCAGUACAAAAUUUUCAGAUUUACCUUUCGCCCUGCAAAACUUAUCGGAACUAGCUUUUUGUCCAUUCUUAGUAAAAUCAGCAGACACAGAAAAUUUUUAGGUCGCUUCUCUAAUUGGUACCAAAAUUUGCAUCGGCAAUAGGAGUUGAGAAAAAAUUCGUUUACUUGGGGAAUAGGACAUGAGAGAGCUUGGUAUCUUUAGAAUAAAAACUUCGAUAGUCGAAAUCCUGAAAAACAAUAGACCCAUCAAUGGUGGUCGGGGGUAUUAUCGGCAUAAAUACUCUAAUGAUGAAGUCAAAUAUCGAGAGUGACAAGAUAUCAAAU
RNAcentral lists this long non-coding RNA (582 nucleotides) under Citrus sinensis (sweet orange). RNAcentral describes it as "long non-coding RNA (CSIN_LNC001837)". The record is from RNAcentral. Lineage: Eukaryota; Viridiplantae; Streptophyta; Magnoliopsida; Sapindales; Rutaceae.